RNAcentral lists this ribosomal RNA (1532 nucleotides) under Salmonella enterica. RNAcentral describes it as "bacterial SSU rRNA". It matches the Rfam family "Bacterial small subunit ribosomal RNA". The record is from RNAcentral. Lineage: Bacteria; Pseudomonadati; Pseudomonadota; Gammaproteobacteria; Enterobacterales; Enterobacteriaceae.
UGAAGAGUUUGAUCAUGGCUCAGAUUGAACGCUGGCGGCAGGCCUAACACAUGCAAGUCGAACGGUAACAGGAAGCAGCUUGCUGCUUUGCUGACGAGUGGCGGACGGGUGAGUAAUGUCUGGGAAACUGCCUGAUGGAGGGGGAUAACUACUGGAAACGGUGGCUAAUACCGCAUAACGUCGCAAGACCAAAGAGGGGGACCUUCGGGCCUCUUGCCAUCAGAUGUGCCCAGAUGGGAUUAGCUUGUUGGUGAGGUAACGGCUCACCAAGGCGACGAUCCCUAGCUGGUCUGAGAGGAUGACCAGCCACACUGGAACUGAGACACGGUCCAGACUCCUACGGGAGGCAGCAGUGGGGAAUAUUGCACAAUGGGCGCAAGCCUGAUGCAGCCAUGCCGCGUGUAUGAAGAAGGCCUUCGGGUUGUAAAGUACUUUCAGCGGGGAGGAAGGUGUUGUGGUUAAUAACCGCAGCAAUUGACGUUACCCGCAGAAGAAGCACCGGCUAACUCCGUGCCAGCAGCCGCGGUAAUACGGAGGGUGCAAGCGUUAAUCGGAAUUACUGGGCGUAAAGCGCACGCAGGCGGUCUGUCAAGUCGGAUGUGAAAUCCCCGGGCUCAACCUGGGAACUGCAUUCGAAACUGGCAGGCUUGAGUCUUGUAGAGGGGGGUAGAAUUCCAGGUGUAGCGGUGAAAUGCGUAGAGAUCUGGAGGAAUACCGGUGGCGAAGGCGGCCCCCUGGACAAAGACUGACGCUCAGGUGCGAAAGCGUGGGGAGCAAACAGGAUUAGAUACCCUGGUAGUCCACGCCGUAAACGAUGUCUACUUGGAGGUUGUGCCCUUGAGGCGUGGCUUCCGGAGCUAACGCGUUAAGUAGACCGCCUGGGGAGUACGGCCGCAAGGUUAAAACUCAAAUGAAUUGACGGGGGCCCGCACAAGCGGUGGAGCAUGUGGUUUAAUUCGAUGCAACGCGAAGAACCUUACCUGGUCUUGACAUCCACAGAACUUUCCAGAGAUGGAUUGGUGCCUUCGGGAACUGUGAGACAGGUGCUGCAUGGCUGUCGUCAGCUCGUGUUGUGAAAUGUUGGGUUAAGUCCCGCAACGAGCGCAACCCUUAUCCUUUGUUGCCAGCGGUCCGGCCGGGAACUCAAAGGAGACUGCCAGUGAUAAACUGGAGGAAGGUGGGGAUGACGUCAAGUCAUCAUGGCCCUUACGACCAGGGCUACACACGUGCUACAAUGGCGCAUACAAAGAGAAGCGACCUCGCGAGAGCAAGCGGACCUCAUAAAGUGCGUCGUAGUCCGGAUUGGAGUCUGCAACUCGACUCCAUGAAGUCGGAAUCGCUAGUAAUCGUGGAUCAGAAUGCCACGGUGAAUACGUUCCCGGGCCUUGUACACACCGCCCGUCACACCAUGGGAGUGGGUUGCAAAAGAAGUAGGUAGCUUAACCUUCGGGAGGGCGCUUACCACUUUGUGAUUCAUGACUGGGGUGAAGUCGUAACAAGGUAACCGUAGGGGAACCUGCGGUUGGAUCACC